Long non-coding RNA from Solea solea (common sole), 3754 nucleotides. RefSeq lists it as uncharacterized. The transcript is spliced from 3 exons. Lineage: Eukaryota; Metazoa; Chordata; Actinopteri; Pleuronectiformes; Soleidae. The record is from RefSeq and is a predicted model, not a curated record.
GGAGGAAGAGGGGGAGAAAAGAAAACGGAGGAGGGAAAUGAAAGAGUGUAAAGGAGAGAGGAGAAGUUAACACCGAGAUGAGGAAAGUGAGGAAGAUGGAGGGGAAACGGAGGGGUGGUUUGAUGGAAAGGUGGCAGACUAAGAAUAGGUAGAACAACAGAAAACAGGAUGAGAGUGUAGGAGAAAAGAAAGGAGGUGAUUGAAGAGGGAAGACAGAAGUUGAGUCCACAGUCAGUAGUCCUGCCGCAACCACAGGAAACUCAGUUGGCUGCCCAACAAAUCAGCUUCCUCUGUGUGUGUGUGUGUGUGGUGGAGGUCUGGGCGUGGUCCCUCCAGCAGCAGGGAGACAAACACUCAAACACCCUCUCCCGGCCUCCUCCUCCCUGGGACUGGCUUGGGGCACUUUCCUCUCCGGUGGCUAUCAUUCAACAGACUGUCUGCACGACUCUGUCUCGCUAUGUCUCUGCGCCUUAUCUAAACUUUCUCUCUUUUUUCUUUUUUUUUUUUCAACCUAAGUCAUCAUACCAGACUCCCGUUUGUGUAACCCAGUCACACCAGUGGGGAUUUCAUCUAAAACCCUGUGGUGUCCAGCAGUGGCCACAGUGGGCAGCACCUGCACUGAUCCCAUUUGGACCACAAAACCACUUUAAUAAACUUUUUAUCCACUCAGCGUCUAGAUUUACCCCAGGAACAAGUGCGAGCUCAGUGUUCUAAUGUCCGCAAGAGGGACUUACUAUUGCAGGUAGAGACUGAUGAGGUACAACGUGCCUCACAAGGGAGAGGUUAACCAUUUAUCUGAGCUACAGAGAGGUGAGCUAAAGAAAGUAAUUGGACAGAUUUCUGUGUUUCCAAAACUAAGAGAUUAUUGUGUUACAGCAGCACAGUUUCGGACACUUUACAAGAAAAGAUUAGGUGAAAGCAAAAUAUACAUGUCAAGUAAAUUAACCCUCAAGCUUCAUAACACUAGUGACAUCAAAUAAUCAAACUGGUAUUUAAAGGGUUAACAUCCUAAAUCCUCUAAAAGUUUGAAUGUUUGGUAGAAAAAACAUUUAACAAUAUUAAUCUGUCAUGUUUUUAUAACAGUUGUUUGGAAGUGGACAUUUUUGUCCUUAAUGACUUUAGAUGGUAUUAAAUUAAACUGAGGCCUGAGGGUUAAAUAAGAUGUUAAAAAAGAUAUAGACCAGUGGGUUUUAAUACUUUUUAUACCAAGUACCACCUGAGAAGAUAUUGAUCUCUCAAUGUAAGACUAUUAUCACCAACGUUAAAAUACAGUGGUGUAAGUAGGCAGAGCAAAGUCAGAUACGGACUUUUCACAGGAGGCAGAUUUAUUCCCGCUAAGAUAAUUUACAUGUACCACAGUUUGAGAACCAUGAAUAUAUGCAGCUGUAAAGAGAGGAAAGAGUAAUUAGAAAAUGUAAUUUAACCAGAUAAACGAACAAAAUCAGCAACAAUAAGUACUCGCUGCAUUUUAGCAGCUGCAUAAAGUAAAAAUUCAAACUUAAAUUUAUGAUAAACGGACAUCAGACAUCAAAGCUGGUCUCAGGUGAUAAACCUGAGACACCUGCCCGGCAACAGCGCGAUGACAUCAUCGCUGUUGGCCUGCUUAUGUUAGUGUUAAUCUCACCACACUAUAUUCUUUUUUCUUUUUUUCCCCUCGCAGAGCCAAUCACAUGACUGUGGACGACAACACUCCCUUGUUUGUACCGAUGCAAUUAUACGAGUUUGGGAGAAAAUUGAAGUCACAGGCAACAAUUUGGCUGAACCACAGCCCCACUUUGUUGACACACGAGUAAACUGCAUACAAACCAGCUGUUAUAGAAGCUGACUGAGGAAAUUGUCCGUGGGACACCGACUGACCCAGCCACACCAUUUACGAGAUGACUCGCUGCUGGGACUUCCUCUGAAGUGCUGAUGGGUCACACGCAUGACGACCAGGUUAACAAGCCGGCAGGUUCGGCAGAGGUUGGGAUGGAGGGUCAUGGUCAAAGGUCGGGAUAACCGGGAAAUCCCUGAGCUGGGUGCAGUGACACUCCUCCUCCUGUGGGACGAUUCACUCACAGUCUGCUUUGAUGUGCAGCUCCACUGGAGCACAUUUUCUUCAACAGGUGACAGAAGAUUGUGGUAACUUAUGGCGCUUUGCCACUAUACAGUUAUAGCACAACUCAGCUCAGCUUGACUCAAAUCUACUCAUUUUUUGUGCUUUUCCGUUAGCAAUAGUAGCUGGUUCCUGGUGCUUUUUAUAGUACCUGCUCUGGUGAGGUUUCAAGCGAGCUGAGCUGAUACUAAAAUGUGAUGUAGUCAGACUGCCGAGUACUGAUUGCUCAGAGAGUGUCGUCACUGGAAGAGUCAUGAGUGCAACGACCUACACAAAAACCAAACCGAACAAUGCCGAAUUGUAGAUCAGUUAAGAAGACUUAAAAAUCCAGAAGACAUGUUAAUCUGCAAAAUUUCACAAAAAAGUAUCAAUAUUUAACAGAGGAGUCUGGAGUCUGGUGUAUUUAGCGACAACACUGCUGAAAGCUGGCCAUCGUGAGCUGAAUCACAACCAUAUUUUAAUUCAGUGACUUUCAGACAGAGUCUGUGCUCCGGUAAUGCAGGAAGUACUGAACUAAUCUUUUUUAAUUUACUGAUUCUAGUGAUUCAGUACAACGAAAAUAACUGCUUUGCACUACACUACAGCAGCACCAAUUUGUCGUUAAUCUCCCCUUAAUUUCUCCCUUUAAUCUACUUUGAAAACUUUAUUUUCUUCUCCUUUUUUUUUAAAGGAAAAGCAACAGUUGAAUUGACUUUUUAAAGCCUGUCACACCGUGGUGGCAUCUUCCUCUGUUUAAAUCACAGUCAUGGCUGUAAAUGCCUGACACAACUCUUUGAUCACUGAGGAAAAAUGAGAGAGAGAGACAGAGAGGAUGUCUGAGUGUGACUGGUGAGGUGCAGCCCAGGUGUUACAGGUCAUCUUUUUCCAACUGGACACACAAGGUGAAUUAAGCCUUUCAAAUAACACAGGGGGACUCAAGGAGUUACCAUAGCAGCAAACCAAUCAUUAUAAUAAACAUGUCAAAUUUAAUGUUUUGAAAAAUACACACACACACACAAACACAUUGUCUCAUAUGUAGUGGGGGUAAAAAAAAAAAGCUGAUAGGUCUUCAGCAGAUACAUGUCGCCUCAUCCUGCUCUUUGAUUAACACAGACACUUCCCUUUAGCAUAGGACUGACAAACACACACACACACACACACACACAUACACACUGUGCUGGUUUUGUUUCUUUGUGUGGACACUCAUAGUAACCUUAACCAGUACAACUAACUCUUAUCCUAACCUAAUGGCACUUUUCCACUACACAGUUCCGGCACGGCAUGACUCAUUUCCGUUAGAGAUAGUACCAGGUACCUGGUUCUUUUUUAGUACCUGCUCUGGCGAGGUUCCAAGUGAGCUGAGACUUAAAAAUCCUGAAAACAUGCGUUAAUCUCCAACAUUUAGCAAAGGACAUUUCUAAAAUCUCAGGAGUCUGGUGUAUUUAGCGACAGCACUGCAGAAAGCCUGCGAUCGCGAGCUGAAUCACAACCUGUUCCGCCGUAUUUCAAUAAUCUUUUUAAUUAAGUGAUUCUAAUAAUUCAGUUACACCGAAAACAACUGCUUUACAAGUCACUAGUUUGUGUGUGUCGCAUGUAAAACCAAGCCACAGCAGUUUCAUGCAGCCAUGCAAUGAUGAUUCAGCCCGCAUUGAGGAGGGACUAAAGUAAUGGAAAACCAUG